RNAcentral lists this ribosomal RNA (303 nucleotides) under uncultured bacterium. Its description in RNAcentral is "partial 16S ribosomal RNA". It matches the Rfam family "Bacterial small subunit ribosomal RNA", at positions 507 to 809 of the family's 1533-position model. The record is from RNAcentral.
AGCAGUAGCCGCGGUAAUACGUAGGUGGCAAGCGUUGUCCGGAAUUAUUGGGCGUAAAGCGCGCGCAGGCGGAUAGGUCAGUCUGUCUUAAAAGUUCGGGGCUUAACCCCGUGAGGGGAUGGAAACUGCUGAUCUAGAGUAUCGGAGAGGAAAGUGGAAUUCCUAGUGUAGCGGUGAAAUGCGUAGAUAUUAGGAAGAACACCAGUGGCGAAGGCGACUUUCUGGACGAAAACUGACGCUGAGGCGCGAAAGCCAGGGGAGCGAACGGGAUUAGAUACCCCCGUAGUCCCUGUCUCUUAUACA